AAGACCUUGCGCUUUUGGAGCGGCCGAUGCCUGAUUAGCUUGUUGGUAAGGUAAAAGCUUACCAAGGCUUCGAUCAGUAGCUGGUCUGAGAGGACGGCCAGCCACACUGGGACUGAGACACGGCCCAGACUCCUACGGGAGGCAGCAGUGGGGAAUUUUGGACAAUGGGGGCAACCCUGAUCCAGCCAUGCCGCGUGAGUGAAGAAGGCCUUCGGGUUGUAAAGCUCUUUCAGCUGGAACGAAACGGUUACGGUUAAUACCCGUGAUUACUGACAGUACCGGAAGAAGAAGCACCGGCUAACUACGUGCCAGCAGCCGCGGUAAUACGUAGGGUGCGAGCGUUAAUCGGAAUUACUGGGCGUAAAGCGUGCGCAGGUGGUUUUGUAAGUCAGAUGUGAAAGCCCCGGGCUCAACCUGGGAACU
RNAcentral lists this ribosomal RNA (423 nucleotides) under uncultured bacterium. Its description in RNAcentral is "bacterial SSU rRNA". It matches the Rfam family "Bacterial small subunit ribosomal RNA", at positions 207 to 622 of the family's 1533-position model. The record is from RNAcentral.